AGAUAUUAGUCAAUGCUCGAAAGAGUGAACUAGCUAACUGAAAUCAAUUAAAUAAUUGAUAACAUAAGGGAAAAUAAUGAUAAUACCUUAUUAUAAGUGUCGUCCAAAACUGGUGCCAGAAGACUCGGUAAGGCCAGAGACACGAACGUUAAUCGUCUUAAUCAGGCGUAAAGGGUUUGUAGGCGGCUUUAAAAUUAAUUUAUUUAAAAUUAUUUUAUAAAUUAAAAAUAAAAGCUAGAAUCAAAUAGAGGAUAUAUCAAAGAAUGCUUAGAGUAGGUCUGAUAUCCUUAGAUACUAAGUAGAAUAUUAAAGGCGAAAGCUUUUUUCCAAUAAUGAUUGACGCUCAGAAACGAAGGUGAGGAUAAGAAAUAGGAUUAGAUACCCAAAAUACCCCUCUCUGUCAACGAUGAAUGGUAGUUAUUAGUAAAAAUUUUAUUAAUGGCAAUGUUAACACGAUAACCAUUCCGCCUUGUGAGUACAACUGCAAAGUUGAAAACAAAAAAAUUAGUCGGUUUCGGAGCAAACGAAGUGAAGCAUGUUAUUUAAUUC
Molecule: ribosomal RNA, 549 nt
Filed under: Russula sp.
Lineage: Eukaryota; Fungi; Basidiomycota; Agaricomycetes; Russulales; Russulaceae
Description: SSU rRNA
Rfam family: Bacterial small subunit ribosomal RNA
Source: RNAcentral